This 429-nucleotide ribosomal RNA is filed under the name Chloroflexota bacterium. RNAcentral's name for it is "Chloroflexi bacterium partial 16S ribosomal RNA". It matches the Rfam family "Bacterial small subunit ribosomal RNA", at positions 355 to 776 of the family's 1533-position model. The record is from RNAcentral. Lineage: Bacteria; Bacillati; Chloroflexota.
UGGGGAAUAUUGCACAAUGGGCGCAAGCCUGAUGCAGCCAUGCCGCUUGUAUGAAGAAGGCCUUCGGGUUGCAAAGUACUUUCAGUCGGGAGGAAGGUGGUAAGGUUAAUAACCUUAUCAAUUGACGUUACCGACAGAAGAAGCCCCGGCUAACUCCGUGCCAGCAGCCGCUGUAAUACGGAGGGUGCAAGCGUUAAUCGGAAUUACUGGGCGUAAAGCGCACGCAGGCGGUUGAUUGAGUCAGAUGUUAAAUCCCCGGGCUUAACCCGGGGAAUGCAUUUGGUAAUGGUCAGCUAGAGUAGUGUAAGGGGGGGUAGAAUUCAAUGUGUAGCGGUGAAAUGCGUAGAGUUGUGGAGGAAUACCGGGGGCGGAGGCGGCCCCCUGGACAAAGACUGACGCUCAGGUGCGAAAGCGUGGGGAGCAAACAGG